GAUGAACGCUGGCGGCGUGCCUAAUACAUGCAAGUCGAACGAGGCCCUUUGUAUUCGUACGAAGGUGUCCUAGUGGCGAACGGGUGAGUAACGCGUUGGUGACCUGCCCCGAAGUUUGGGAUAACCCUACGAAAGUGGGGCUAAUACCAAAUGUGGUCAUCGGAUUUAGAAACCGAUGUCUAAAGGAUUUAUUCGCUUCGGGAGGGGCCUGCGUCCCAUCAGCUAGUUGGUAGGGUAACGGCCUACCAAGGCUACGACGGGUAGGGGACCUCAGAGGGUGGCCCCCCACAAUGGAACUGAAACACGGUCCAUACACCUACGGGUGGCAGCAGUAGGGAAUAUUGCACAAUGGGCGAAAGCCUGAUGCAGCAACGCCGCGUGUGCGAAGAAGGCCUUCGGGUCGUAAAGCACUUUUCUGGGAGAUGAGAAAGGACAGUAUCCCAGGAAUAAGUCUCGGCUAACUACGUGCCAGCAGCCGCGGUAAAACGUAGGAGGCGAGCGUUAUCCGGAUUUACUGGGCGUAAAGCGCGUGUAGGCGGUUUGGUAAGUUGGGCGUGAAAGCUCCCGGCUCAACUGGGAGAGGUCGUCCAAGACUACCAGAC
This 602-nucleotide ribosomal RNA is filed under the name uncultured bacterium. Its description in RNAcentral is "bacterial SSU rRNA". It matches the Rfam family "Bacterial small subunit ribosomal RNA", at positions 28 to 641 of the family's 1533-position model. The record is from RNAcentral.